GCGGCUUAAUUUGACUCAACGCGGGGUAAUUUACCAGAUAUAACAUGGUAUAAUAUUUUAUCAUGAUAGUGGUGCAUGGCCGUUUCCAAUGGAUGCUGUGAAGUAAUGAUUAAUUUCAACAAGAUGUGAGACCCUCGUUUAGACAGAUGUAGUGAUACAUAUGAAGGAGAGGAUUAAAACAGGUCCGUUAUGCCCUAAGAUAAUCUGGGUUGCACGCGCAAUACAAUAAUAUUUGAUAUUAUAAGGGAUAAUAUAAUGUAAGAUAUAUUUGAACAUGGAAUUGCUAGUAAAUUUUAUUUAAUAAGUAGAAUUGAAUGAGUCCCUGUUCUUUGUACACACCGCCCGUCGCUAUCUAAGAUGGUAUUAUCUAUGAACAAAUUUAUAAAGUGAAUAGAUAGUACUAGAUCUGAUAUAAGUCGUAACAUGGUUGCUGUUGGAGAACCAUUAGCAGGAUCAUAA
RNAcentral lists this ribosomal RNA (459 nucleotides) under Nosema bombycis. RNAcentral's name for it is "SSU rRNA". It matches the Rfam family "Microsporidia small subunit ribosomal RNA", at positions 819 to 1311 of the family's 1311-position model. Lineage: Eukaryota; Fungi; Microsporidia; Nosematidae. The record is from RNAcentral.